GGCUGGUCCAACUGCAGUAGUGCUUACAACGAAUUGAUCACAACCAGUUACAGAUGUUUUUGUUCCUUCUCCACUCCCAUUGCUUUACUUGACUACUCUUUU
Molecule: unclassified non-coding RNA, 102 nt
Organism: Microcebus murinus (gray mouse lemur)
Lineage: Eukaryota; Metazoa; Chordata; Mammalia; Primates; Cheirogaleidae
Rfam family: Y RNA
About the family: Y RNAs are components of the Ro ribonucleoprotein particle (Ro RNP), in association with Ro60 and La proteins. The Y RNAs and Ro60 and La proteins are well conserved, but the function of the Ro RNP is not known.
Source: Ensembl